GAUGAAGAACGUAGCGAAAUGCGAUAAGUAAUGUGAAUUGCAGAAUUCAGUGAAUCAUCGAAUCUUUGAACGCACAUUGCGCCCGCUAGUAUUCUGGCGGGCAUGCCUGUCCGAGCGUCAUUUCAACCCUCAAGCCCCCGGGCUUGGUGUUGGGGAUCGGCGAGCCUCCGCGCCCGCCGUCCCCUAAAUCUAGUGGCGGACUCGCUGUAGCUUCCUCUGCGUAGUAGCACACCUCGCACUGGGAAACAGCGCGGCCACGCCGUUAAACCCCCAACUUCUGAACGUUUGACCUCGGAUCAGGUAGGAAUACCCGCUGAACUUAAGCAUAUCAAUAAGCGGAGGA
RNAcentral lists this unclassified non-coding RNA (343 nucleotides) under soil metagenome. RNAcentral's name for it is "partial contains 5.8S ribosomal RNA, internal transcribed spacer 2, and large subunit ribosomal RNA". The stretch from base 1 to 120 matches the Rfam family "5.8S ribosomal RNA", at positions 35 to 154 of the family's 154-position model. The record is from RNAcentral.